This 458-nucleotide long non-coding RNA is filed under the name Medicago truncatula (barrel medic). RNAcentral describes it as "lncRNA gene41108". The record is from RNAcentral. Lineage: Eukaryota; Viridiplantae; Streptophyta; Magnoliopsida; Fabales; Fabaceae.
UUUUUUAAGGGAAAAUGAUUACUUUAUUAUAUAAUCAUAUUUUCUCUACAUAUUGCACCUCAUUCAUUGUUUUGCGACGACAUUUUUAUUUUACAUACAUAUCUUGUAAAAGAAAAUAAAGAAAACAAUCCUUGCCUUUUAUAUUGCACCUCAUUCAUUGAUUAUUUGGGGACAAAUUUCUUCUACUUAAAUGACACUUAUUUUAAGGUGGUGGGAAUAUAUUUACAGUGACACUCAAACAUAAUGCACUUAGGAACUUGAGGAUUGACACAAGAAAUAGAUGGACAAUCAAUGUCCUCCUUGCAAGUUGGACCUUCGGUAAAACUAGAAAAAGGCUCACGAUAGCCUUUAGUUACAACAAGAAGUAAAGAAAUAAAUAGGAUGAUAACAAAUACGAAAUUGAGAAUUGUAGCCAUAUUUUGUCUCAUUUGCAUAUAAUCAAUGGAAAAUUGCUUUGC